Molecule: ribosomal RNA, 1155 nt
Filed under: bacterium 4Fug-1-10-7
Lineage: Bacteria
Description: bacterial SSU rRNA
Rfam family: Bacterial small subunit ribosomal RNA
Source: RNAcentral
UUCUUGUUGGGGCUCGUCAGGCACACAACAGUCGAGCGGAACGAGUUAACUGAACCUUCGGGGGACGUUAACGGCGUCGAGCGGCGGACGGGUGAGUAAUGCCUGGGAAAUUGCCCUGAUGUGGGGGAUAACCAUUGGAAACGAUGGCUAAUACCGCAUAAUGCCUUCGGCCCAAAGAGGGGGACCUUCGGGCCUCUCGCGUCAGGAUUAGCCCAGGUGGGAUUAGCUAGUUGGUGAGGUAAUGGCUCACCAAGGCGACGAUCCCUAGCUGGUCUGAGAGGAUGAUCAGCCACACUGGAACUGAGACACGGUCCAGACUCCUACGGGAGGCAGCAGUGGGGAAUAUUGCACAAUGGGCGCAAGCCUGAUGCAGCCAUGCCGCGUGUGUGAAGAAGGCCUUCGGGUUGUAAAGCACUUUCAGUCGUGAGGAAGGUAGUGUAGUUAAUAGCUGCAUUAUUUGACGUUAGCGACAGAAGAAGCACCGGCUAACUCCGUGCCAGCAGCCGCGGUAAUACGGAGGGUGCGAGCGUUAAUCGGAAUUACUGGGCGUAAAGCGCAUGCAGGUGGUUAGUUAAGUCAGAUGUGAAAGCCCGGGGCUCAACCUCGGAACUGCAUUUGAAACUGGCUGACUAGAGUACUGUAGAGGGGGGUAGAAUUUCAGGUGUAGCGGUGAAAUGCGUAGAGAUCUGAAGGAAUACCAGUGGCGAAGGGUGGCCCCCUGGACAGAUACUGACACUCAGAUGCGAAAGCGUGGGGGAGCAAACAGGAUUAGAUACCCUGGUAGUCCACGCCGUAAACGAUGUCUACUUGGAGGUUGUGGCCUUGAGCCGUGGCUUUCGGAGCUAACGCGUUAAGUAAGACCCGCCUGGAGGAGUACGGGCCGCAAGAUUAAAACUCAAAUGACUGACCGGGCGGCCCGCACCAUCGGUGGCAGCAUGUGCUUUAUUUCGAUGCCACCGCGACAGUACCUUACCUACUCUGAAUCCAGUGGACUUGAGCAGAAAUUGCUUCGAUGACGUCGGGAAACUGCUGAAACAGUGCUGCAUUGCUUGCGUCAGCUUCGGAGUGCUAUACGUUCGGUAGGUCCGUCACGAGGCCACCGUAUGCUGGUGCCAGCCUUCGGUGGGAACUCCAGGUGGAACCUGUCCGGGUGUA